This 713-nucleotide long non-coding RNA is filed under the name Rattus norvegicus (Norway rat). RNAcentral describes it as "long non-coding RNA NONRATT015390". The record is from RNAcentral. Lineage: Eukaryota; Metazoa; Chordata; Mammalia; Rodentia; Muridae.
GCUGAGCUCUUUUUUUUUUUUUUUUCUGAAGUAAAUAGAGACAUGUAGAGUCUUCCCUCCAUGUCAGGCUGCACUUCAUUAGCCCCAGCUCAGUAAUGCAGGGAACCCUAGUGACCCAUCGGCCAAGAAACUCCCAGAAGCAUUAAAAAAAAAGUUAUAUUCCGCUGCCAAGUGGAUAGUCAUUUAGCUGUUUGUCCCUUGUUUUUUAUUUAUUCCAUAAUUAUGUUUGUGCUUUUUCUUGUGUGAACAGUAGUGAGGCGUAUGUUUUUAUGUGGCUUUAGAGAAAACUUCAGUCUUCAAAGAACUGUUCUAAUUAGUUCCUUCUCGGAAAAAGUUAUGCGUUAAUUUGUUUCAAAAUAUUUAGGCAUUCUUUGAAUUAUAAACUUGUGAUGCAGGGAUUUGUGAACGAGACGUUCACAAGUGAAGAUGACUUCACUUAGCAUCUGUGUAAACAGAAUAAGAUGUGUAUAUGUACAUAAAAUAUAAGGAGUCUGAACACCAUUGUGCAGUGCCUUUUAGAUGUUCUGCUUUCUAAAGUCUUCAAAUUUUUUGCAUAUAUAUUAUAUAUAUGAUGUAAUGUUAUAGAAAUAUAUGUAUAAUAUACAUAUUUUUUCCAGGGGUAUCUGAUAGCUCUGUAUUUUGUUAUGGAAGUCGAAAGAAAAAAAAAGUAUUUUACCUCAAAAAAUUAAAGUUCAGUUUAAAAACAAAGGGUC